This 468-nucleotide ribosomal RNA is filed under the name uncultured bacterium. RNAcentral describes it as "partial 16S ribosomal RNA". It matches the Rfam family "Bacterial small subunit ribosomal RNA", at positions 28 to 507 of the family's 1533-position model. The record is from RNAcentral.
GACGAACGCUGGCGGCGUGCCUAACACAUGCAAGUCGAACGGAAAGGCCCUGCUUUUGUGCGCUGCUCGACUGGCGGACGGGUGAGUAACACGUGAGUACCGUGCCCUUGACUUUGGGGUAACCUCAGGACGCUGGGGCUAAUACCGGAUAGGAGCUCCUGCUGCUUGGUGGGGGUUGGAUAGUUUCGGCGGUUGGGGAUGGAAUCGCGGCUGAUCAGCUUGUUGGUGGGGUAGUGGCAUACCAAGGCUAUGGCGGAUAGCCGUCCUUGGAGGGUGACCAGGCACAGUGGCACUGGGACACGGACCAGACCCCUACUGGUGGCAGCGGUAGCAAAUAGGACUCAAGGAGAGGGAGCGAGAGGCAGCUACACCGCGGGCGGGAUGAUGGCGUACGGGUUAGGAACCUCAUUCGCCUGUGACGGAGAUGGUAUUAAGGGAACGGGUAAAGAAGCACCGGCUAACUUCGUU